Molecule: non-coding RNA, 86 nt
Filed under: Colwellia psychrerythraea
Lineage: Bacteria; Pseudomonadati; Pseudomonadota; Gammaproteobacteria; Alteromonadales; Colwelliaceae
Description: Cyclic di-GMP-I riboswitch
Rfam family: c-di-GMP-I riboswitch aptamer
About the family: GEMM was predicted in a large-scale screen for bacterial structured RNA regulatory elements. Genes associated with GEMM are involved in a diverse array of functions, including chemotaxis regulation, signal transduction, secretion and chitin.
Source: RNAcentral
UGAAAAAGGCAAACUAAGUAAAAGCUUAGGACGCAAAGCCAACGGUCUAAGGAGACGUUAAAGUCUCUAUGAUAGCGUAGCUACCG